UACGUAGGGUGCGAGCGUUGUCCGGAAUUAUUGGGCGUAAAGAGCUUGUAGGCGGUUUGUCGCGUCUGCCGUGAAAUUUCGAGGCUCAACCUCGAACUUGCGGUGGGUACGGGCAGACUAGAGUGUGGUAGGGGAGACUGGAAUUCCUGGUGUAGCGGUGAAAUGCGCAGAUAUCAGGAGGAACACCGAUGGCGAAGGCAGGUCGCUGGGCCACUACUGACGCUGAGAAGCGAAAGCAUGGGGAGCGAACAGG
RNAcentral lists this ribosomal RNA (253 nucleotides) under uncultured bacterium. Its description in RNAcentral is "partial 16S ribosomal RNA". It matches the Rfam family "Bacterial small subunit ribosomal RNA", at positions 524 to 776 of the family's 1533-position model. The record is from RNAcentral.